This 67-nucleotide transfer RNA is filed under the name Orectolobus ornatus (ornate wobbegong). RNAcentral describes it as "tRNA-Ser". The record is from RNAcentral. Lineage: Eukaryota; Metazoa; Chordata; Chondrichthyes; Orectolobiformes; Orectolobidae. RNAcentral also lists the same sequence under 1 other name.
AAGAGAGGUCUGGGACACGAGGAACUGCUAAUUCCCCUUUUCAUGGUUCAAAUCCAUGGCUCACUUA